RNAcentral lists this ribosomal RNA (1365 nucleotides) under Triticum aestivum (bread wheat). RNAcentral's name for it is "partial small subunit ribosomal RNA". The record is from RNAcentral. Lineage: Eukaryota; Viridiplantae; Streptophyta; Magnoliopsida; Poales; Poaceae.
AUGGCGGCCGCCGUCGGGGACGACCUCUUCCUCGACCGCCUCAGCGAUCUCCCGGACAUCAUCCUGGUGACCAUCCUCUCCCGCCUCGACAUGGACGAAGCGGCGAGGUGUUCAAUCCUCAGCUCUCGCUGGCGCCGCCUCUUCCCAUCCACCCUCCUCGAUUUCAAGGCCGGCGGUAUUCGCCGCGACAGGGCCGUCGAGGCCGUCACCUCCAUCCUCGCCGCCCACCCCACCGAGCCCGUGCGCUCAUUCAGCACGUACAGGCUCUCCUUCCGCCGCCAGGACGAGGACGCCGUUGACGGCUGGCUCCGGGAUCUGGCCAACCGCGGCAUCGAAAAACUCGUCCUCUACUUCAACGAGAAGCGCCAGCAGAAGGUCCCGGAAUCCCUCUUCGCCUGCGCGUCCCUGAAGCGCCUCAAGGUGAUUAACGGCACCUUCCCUGACGCCACCGAGGCCGCCGCAUCCCUCGCCGUCCUCGCCAAGAUCGACCUGUCCGACGUCAAGAUCUCCGAGGACUCGCUGAACUCCCUGCUCUCGAACUGCAGGGCGCUGGAGCGCCUGAAGAUCACUUCCAUCAGCAAGUGCGACCGCCUCCAUGUCCGGUCUAGGAGCCUCAAGGUCCUGAACACCAGUGGCGACUUCAAGGAGCUCUUCAUUGACGACGCUCCCAACCUGGAGCAGGUGCUCGGCUGCUACCUGAACAGCAGGUCGGUCAAAAUCAUGAUCGCGCACGCUCCAAAGCUGGAGUUCUUUGGCUACACCGGCAUGAACAACGAGAUUGAGUUUGGAAACACCAAGUUCACCAAGUUCAGGGAAAAGAAUAUUCAUGCUGAGACCAUUAUGCCAAGCCUCAAGACACUAGCGGUCGACCUGAUGCACACGCCGGACGGACACAUCAACGAACAUUACAUCAACUGGUUUAUGCAGCUGAUCAAGGUGUUCCCUUGCUUGGAGACGAUCUACAUCAAGUCGGACUCUUGGUCCGAGGCUCGUGACAGCUCCCCGGGGUCGUGGGACGUCCUAGCAUCCGUUCCUUGCAUGGACAACCACCUCGAGAAGGUGGUGUUCGAAGUUUACCGAGGACAGGAAUGGCAGAGGGACAUGGCCAAGUUCCUUCACGGGAGGAGCAGGUUCCUCAAGACCAUGGAGUUCCACUGCAUGGACGAUACUUCAAGAGAGGAUUAUGGCAGGGCUCCUACUGAAGAAUGGGUGAGGAAGCAGCAGGAGCUCUUGUGCCUCGACAGCCGGGCCUCGAGAGAUGCUCGUUUCCUCUUUUUCAAGAGUCAGCUGGUGGUCAACCAUCAUGAGUUCAGCCAUAACGAGUCGUACCAGAGGGGUUAUUAUCGUGACAUGUAUAACCUUUAA